This 431-nucleotide ribosomal RNA is filed under the name uncultured bacterium. RNAcentral's name for it is "partial 16S ribosomal RNA". It matches the Rfam family "Bacterial small subunit ribosomal RNA", at positions 338 to 795 of the family's 1533-position model. The record is from RNAcentral.
CCUACGGGUGGCUGCAGUCGAGGAUUUUUGGCAAUGAGCGCAAGCUUGACCAAGCGACGCCGCGUGCGGGAUGAAGGCCUUCGGGUUGUAAACCGCUGUCAGUGGGGAGGCUAAUCCGCAGAGGAAGUGAGGGCUAAGCUCGUGCCAGCAGCCGCGGUAAGACGAGCCUCACAAACGUUAUUCGGAAUCACUGGGCUUAAAGGGUGCGUAGGCGGUGUGGAAAGUCGGAUGUGAAAUACCUCAGCUUAACUGAGGAACUGCACUCGAUACUUCCAUGCUAGAGUAAGACAGAGGUGAGUGGAACUGAGGGUGGAGCGGUGAAAUGCGUUGAUAUCCUCAGGAACACCGGUGGCGAAGGCGACUCACUGGGUCUUACUGACGCUGAUGCACGAAAGCUAGGGUAGCAAACGGGAUUAGAUACCCUUGUAGUC